AAGGCACCUCGUUCGGUGAGGCGUCGCCAUGGACACAGGCCACUGACCCCACGACGUCGAGAGACGCCCAGGGUCAGGACAGGUCUCCCCGGCCUAAGGGGUGACCCCAAGUGGCUGCACCCCUCGGGACCAUCCCGGGUGCUACGCCGUGGCGUGCCAAAGCUCUGACGAGAUCAAGGGGUGCCCA
RNAcentral lists this small RNA (187 nucleotides) under Streptomyces sp. RNAcentral describes it as "Magnesium sequence". It matches the Rfam family "M-box riboswitch aptamer (ykoK leader)". Rfam says of the family: M-box riboswitch, also know as ykoK leader is described as a metaloregulatory RNA that sense divalent metals and function as a genetic control element of genes related to divalent metal transport in bacteria. It was first reported upstream of the B.subtilis ykoK gene and genes with related functions in other bacteria. Phylogenetic analysis of the distribution of M-box RNAs across bacterial genomes revealed that M-box riboswitches are most often employed for the regulation of Mg2+ transporter genes The record is from RNAcentral. Lineage: Bacteria; Bacillati; Actinomycetota; Actinomycetes; Kitasatosporales; Streptomycetaceae.